UUUUCCUUGACGCAUCAUACAUACCUGGUUUAUGUUGCUUCAUGACGCUCGUAAUGAUGAUGGCAUUAAGAGCUUCUUCCAAGAGGUACACGAACUUUACAUAAAGACACUUCUUAAUCCCCUGUACUUGCCUGGCUCCCGGAUCACAUCAUCACAUUUUGACACGAAAGUCCGAGCUCUUGCCCGAAAAUAUUUGUAGAGUCCACCAGCUAGCUCAUAAGCAUUGAGUCUGGAUCUGACCCCUACCUUGUUCAAUUCUCUUUGUUAUCCCCUACAAGAUUUGGCAGAAAGGUUAGAUUUGGUGUUUGCCUGGAAUGUUUGUGUACACAAGUCAUUAGCGGAAGAUGGCUAUGUUUGUUGACAAAAGCUGUUGGAUC
Arachis ipaensis is the source of this 377-nucleotide non-coding RNA. Lineage: Eukaryota; Viridiplantae; Streptophyta; Magnoliopsida; Fabales; Fabaceae. The record is from RefSeq and is a predicted model, not a curated record.